AUCUAUUUUUGUGUCAACUAAAAAAAAAAAAAGUACUGCUUCUGUCCUUUUUUUUUUUUGGCGUUCCUUUAACGCUUAUGCAGACACAUGUUGUAGCCAAUCAUCCUCUUACACUUCAGCAUAAGAGCUGACAUGGGUCCUCUGUUCACCCACUAUGUAUAAUGAUGAUGGACUAGCUUAUAGGAGUAGCCUCAGGCGUUUCUGUUAGUCUUUUUAGGUAGAGCGUAGACGCAAAUAGAGUAAUAGUGAAUAGAUGGUGAGAAAGCUGGGGGUAAUGGCGAAUAGUGGUUCAAUUUUCACUACUCUUUUAGUAGUUGUAGUAGCUCUUCUUGCUGUUUCAGCAGAAAAUGAGGGAGACAAGAUAGUACAGUCGAAGGAAGAAUUUGUGUGGACUUUGGACCAUACUAACUUCUCUGAUAUUAUUUCCCAUCACAAGAUGAUCGUUGUAGAGUUCUAUGCCCCUUGGUGUGGAUACUGCCAGCAACUUGAGCCAAAGUACGAACAAGCAGCUUCGGUGUUGAAUAGUCACGAUCCUCCAGUAAUUCUUGCUAAAAUGGAUACAACAAUUCCAGAAAAUGCAGCACUUGCAAGAAAUUACACCCUUAACGGUGUUCCAAAUAUUAGGAUCUUCCGUAAUGGUGGCAAGACAGUUCAUGAGUAUAAAGGUACUCGUGAGACCGAGGGUAUAAUUGCCUAUUUGAAAAAACAUGCGGGCCCUGCAUCUCUUGAAAUCAAAUCAAAGGAAGAUGCUGCAAACCUUAUUGAUGGAAAAAAAAUCGUUGUCGCUGGCAUAUUUCCAGAACUCUCUUUAGAGAAGAUCCAGAACUUCACAGCUCUUGCUGAAGAUCUAAGAGUAGAUUAUGAUUUUGUUCACACACUUGAUGCCAAACUCCUUCCUCGUGGUGGGCUGGUUGAUAAACCAUCUAUUCGUCUAUUUAAGCCAUUUGAUGAACUCUAUGCUGACUUCGAGGAUUUUCAACUUGAGGCAAUGCAGAAUUUCAUUGAAGAAACUAGUGUUCCAAUCAUGGCUAUUCUUGAUGACAAUCCAGAAAACCAGCAAUUUGUCAACCACUUUUUGCAUAGUCCGGGGGACAAGGUAUUUCUAUUUCUCAACUUCAGCACUGAUCUUGAUGCUUUCAAGUCCAAAUACUAUGAUCUUGCAGUCAGUUACAAGGGAAAGGAAGCAAACUUCCUCUUGGGAGAUGCUGAGACUGGUAAAAGGGCCCUUCAGUAUUUUGGAUUGGACACUGAUCAGGCACCUUUAGUCUUCUUACUUUCCAUGGACGGCACAAAAUAUGUUCAGAGACAUGUACAACCUGAUAACCUUGCAUCUUGGUUGAAGGAUUGUAAGGAUGGGAAGUUGAAACCAUACUUGAAGUCACAGCCUAUCCCAGAAGUUAACAAUGAACCUGUUAAGGUGGUGGUUGCGGAGACUCUUGAGGAUAUGGUGCUCAAUUCAGGGAAAGAUGUACUGGUAGAGUUCUAUCGACUUGGGUGUAAAUAUUGUGAGGAGUUCACUCCAGUCUUGGAUGAAAUAGCUCUCUCAUUUGAAAAAGACCCUGAUGUCCUAAUUGUUAAAAUUGAUGGGACAGAAAAUGAUAUACCUCGUGACCUGUUUGAAGUUCAAGGAUUCCCAACUUUAUACUUGAGAUCUGCAACCGGUAGUUUGUCAAGGUUUGACGGCAAUAGAACAAAAGAGGCCAUUAUUGAAUUUAUCCAGACAAAUAGGGGUACCCCUGCUCCUUCAAAUUUUGUGAAAUCUGAUUUAACAGUAUCAGAAAUGGCACAAAAAGAGCCAGUGAAGGAUGAGUUGUAAGGAGGAUUCAUUCUCUGACACGCUGUUUUUGAUGGUAUUGGUUAUCGUUCCUGGAGACGGGGAAUAAUUAGGGCAUUAUCAGUGAAGAACAACUUGGAUUUUAUCAAUGACAAAUCUACAAUACCCACUGAAGAUUCUCCUAACUUCAGUCUUCGGGAAAGAUGCGACAACACGGUGACCUCAUGGAUCCUAAAUUCAUUAUCAUACGAUUUGGUAGACAGCCCACAAUAUGUGAAUGAUGCUAGAGAACUUUGGCAGAAACUCGAGGAUCAAUAUGAUCAAACUAAUGGCGCGAAAUUGUACCAACUAUAAAAGGAAAUCAAUGAUUUAUCACAAGGAAAUUUGGAUAUCACUGCUUACUAUACAAAGAUGGAGAAGUUGUGGGAAGAAUUGAACACUCUCAAUGCUAUCACAGCCUGUUGUCAAUGCUCAUGUCUAAGGCCAGUAUGCACAAGGUAGAGCAAGACAGGCGUUUGAUUCAAUUCCUCAUGGGAUUAAAUGAAGUUUACAUUGCUGUGCGAGGCCCCUUCAUUGAAGAGGCCUUUGGAGAUUGGUAGAGCCAAAGAUGGACUAUACUACCUUUGCUCCAAAUGUCACAACAAGCAUCCAAAUGUAGCUGCAUAUUGCAAGUCUUUUUCACCCCUUAUUUUUCCCUACCUGUCUGAUUCUUGUUCUAGUUUGUCCAGUCUUGGUUGUGGUUCUUGUAAAUACAAUAAGCAAAAUGUAUCUCAUCAUCACCUGGUAUAUAGUUCACAUCCUGCAUCAUCACCUGGUAUAUAGUUCACAUCCUGUAAAUAAAGGAACUUGUUCUGUCUGUCGUUCUUUAACUUCUACGUCUCAUGGAAAUAACAAUGAUCUUUUAUGGCACUUAAGACUAGGCCAUGUAUCCUUUGUGAAGAUGAAAGGGAUAUCCUCACUACCACAUUUGUCACCUAAACAACCCUUCAUUUGCUCGAUCUGUCCAAUGUCCAGACAAACUAGACUUACCCUCCCAGAAAAGACCACCACUACAAUAAAACCUUUUGAUAAUUUGCACGUUGAUAUGUGGGGACCAUAUCAUACAUCUACUCAUGACAAUCAUAGAUUUUUUCUCACACCGGUUGAUGACUUUACUAGAUCAACUUGGACUCACCUGGUGAGCAACAAAAGUAAUGCUCUACAUGUCAUAAAAUCUUUCAUUUCCCUUGUUGAGAAUCAAUAUGCAAUCACUGUCAAGAUUCUCACAAUGGUCUUGAAUUUGUUAAUAAUGAAACAGAACUACCUUCAAUCCAAGGGAAUUGUACACCAGAGAACCUGUUCCUACACACCACAAUAGAAUGGCGUUGUGGAGAGAAAACCUAAAUAUCUCCUAGAAAUAUCAAGAGCCUUGUUGUACCAAUACAAACUACCUCUUUCAUAUUGGGGAGUGCUUCUUGACAGCUAUAUACUUAAUAAAUAGAAUACCAUCCUCAGUUUUAGGCAACAAACGUCCAUAUGAGUUAUUGAACCAAAGACCACCAUUGUAUAAUCACCUCAAGGACUUUGGAUGCUUGUGCUAUCCCACCAUUCUCAAAGGACACAAAUACAAGUUUGAACCAAGGAUCACCACUCACAUAUUUGUAGGAUAUCCUUUUGGCGCCAAAGGUUACAGAGUAUUAGACUUAACCAUAAAAAGAUUGUCUAUUUCUAGAGAUGUUGUGUUUCAUGAAGCUGUUUUCCCCUUUGCAUUAUGUCCUGAUAACUCUUCUUUUCCCUUCGUUUUAAUGUCAGUAAGGUCCUACUUCAACAAUACUUCAAACUUGAACACUAACACACACUCCACUGGUAUUAGUCAUUUGGAUACACAGAGGAUAUCUCUGAUUGUGUUGUUCCAAAGUCUGUUCACACUGAAACACCACUACCUGAUCAUUCGAAUAUUUCUAUACAAAUAUCACAUAUUUCCACAUGUGAAAACAGUGAUGAUAUAUCAUCUCAUCAACCUAUGUCACCACCUCCAAAUACACUACCUGUUGCAACCCAAUCCACCUGAACUAAGGAGGUCAUACAGAGUUCAUACAAUACCUGCUUAUCUUCAAGAAUACACUUACACAUUACCUGGUCUUCACACCAGACCUACUGUUCCAUCCACUAGUACAUCCAAGUUUUCUUUUUUCUCACCUAUAGCAUCCUUGCCCUUAAUAAGUAAAUCCACCCCAUUCACAUCACUUACGCAAGAUAGUCAAGAGACAAUGAGAAACAUUUCACUUGCUAGUGAACCCUCUUCUUAUGAGGAAGCAGCCUUGAAUCCUGCAUGGCAAGCUGCCAUGACCCAAGAGUUUGAAACACUUUAUGCAAAUCAAACUUGGGAUUUAGUCACAUUGCCUGCUAAUAAGAAAGCUAUAGGUUGUAGUUGGGUGUAUAAAAAUCAAACAUAAAGCAGAUGGAAGUGUAGAAAGGUUUAAGGCAAGACUUGUAGUCAAAGGUUUCACACAACAACAGGGUGUUGAUUACACUGAAACGUUCUCACCAGUGGUGAAAAUGACAACCAUCAGAACCCUAUUAUGUUUAGCCAUAAAGAAAGGAUGGCCACUUUAUAAAUUGGAUAUUAACAAUGCAUUUCUGCAUGGGGAUUUAAGGGAAGAAGUCUACAUGGAGUUACCACCAGGCUUAUUGGUUGAUCAAGAAGGACUAGUUUGCAGGCUAAAGAAAUCACUAUAUGGUUUAAAACAAGCAAGCAGUCAAUGGUAUGACAAAUUGACUGAGUCUUUAUGCUCAAAAGAUUUUGUGCAUUCAGCCAGUGAUUAUUCCUUAUUUGGGCAAACUAUACUUUUUCUUAGGACUGGAAACUCUCUAUACAGCUGAUGGUGCCUUGAUCUUGCAGAGUAAGUUUGCUACUGAUUUACUCAAGUAGUUUGAUUGCCUGAAUUACACAAAGGUUUCAUCACCCUUGGAUUCUACAAUUAAACUACAUCCAGAUAAAGGAAAGAGGUUGAUGUCUGAUCCUACAGUUUACGGGAAACUGGUAGGCAAAGUAAAUUUUCUCACCAACACAAGGUUGGACAUUGCCUAUAGUGUGCAACAUCUUAGUCAGUUUAUGCAUGCUCCCAGAGAACCACAUUAUCAGGCUGCACUACAUGUGCUCCCAGAGAACCACAUUAUCAGGCUGCACUACAUGUGCUGAGAUACCUCAAAAAUGAUAUAACCUUAGGACUCUUUCUAUCUAACAAAAGUCAGUAAGUGGUUACAUUGUUUUCCUUGGUGAUAUUCCCAUUAGUUGGAAAUUCAAGAAGCAGUCUACCAUCUCACUUUCUUUAGCAGAAGCCGAGUAUAGAUCUCUCAGAAAGGUAGUGGGAGAAUUAGUCUGGAUUGACAGAUUAUUGACAGAGUUACUGAGUGUCCUUCCAAACCUAUUUCUGUGUAUUGUGAUAGUGAAGUUGCAAUUCAUAUUGCAAGGAAUCCCGUGUUCCAUGAAAGGUCCAAGCACAUAGAAGUUGAUUGCCAUUUUGUUAGAGACAAAGCUUCAUGAUGGACUUAUCAGUUUGCAACAUAUCUCAACCACACAACAAUUAGCUGAUAUACUUACUAAAGCUCUUGGUGGUGUCACAUCAUUCUAUACUUGGCAAGUUGUCAGUGCAGUCCACAACUCCCAACUUGAGGGGGGUGUUGAGAUCAAUCAGUUGAUUAAUUAUGCUAGCAGCUAGUUAGUUAACGAUGUGCAUCCUAGUUUGUUAUUGGCUUGAUUAGCUUAAGAGAAGUAGUUAGUUCUCUUAAUUGAUUAGCUGAAACUAGUUGUGUCACUUGUUUCUUGUAUAAAUACUCUUACAGCAUAGUGAAAAUCAGCUUUCUGAUUUGCAAAUUAUCUUCUCAUGUUACGUUUAUCACAACCAUGAGCUCUGCUUGCUCCAUUAAUGGAGGUUCACUAUUGUUAUAGCUCAAUCUCAAUAGGAAUAUUUAGGAAACUUAAUAGUUAACCUACAUAUUGGAGAAGAAGAAUAACAAAUGCUGAGAAGUAAACUAUCCAUCAGAUGAAUUAUGAAUGGUUUUGGACAUGACUUGAAGGGAAAACAUCUCUUGAUUUUUUGGUUCUAGAUUUCAGGAUUUUCAGCUUGCGUAUUGAAAUUGAGCUUCUUUUACUCUAUUUGCACUGUUGUAGAAGUGAGACUUCCCCAAAUUACCCUUAGCUCUUAGCAGUAGGUAUUUUCAACAACCGACAAGGAACAAAACAAAACUGAAUAAGAUGAGUUGUGAAAUCAAAGUUGUUAUUUGACAUUCUAAAUUGUAUUCGGAUUCAGCUUUAAUUGCAUGAGCUGAAGGGAUCAUCUCCAAAGGCAUCUAAAUUUGCUUUCCCUUUUUUUUGGCAGGUUUAUGAAACCCACAUUGAUCAUAGUGCAGCUUUCUUUUGUGUACCGAUGGCGGUGUUUUCUCUCCCCUCUCAUCCAAUUAGCCCGACCUCCCUGCCU
Molecule: RNA transcript, 6234 nt
Organism: Capsicum annuum
Lineage: Eukaryota; Viridiplantae; Streptophyta; Magnoliopsida; Solanales; Solanaceae
Gene name: protein disulfide-isomerase
Exons: 12
Source: RefSeq, a predicted model, not a curated record